This is a long non-coding RNA of Antechinus flavipes (yellow-footed antechinus), 2279 nucleotides long. RefSeq lists it as uncharacterized. The record is from RefSeq and is a predicted model, not a curated record. Lineage: Eukaryota; Metazoa; Chordata; Mammalia; Dasyuromorphia; Dasyuridae. The transcript has 4 exons.
AUUUCACUCAGGACUAAAUGUCAAGAGAAAAAUAUUAGGAGUUGAUAAAUAGAUCAUAGUCACCUGUGUAGAGGGGAUAACUGAAUCAAUGGGAAUUGAAUUGAAUAAAUAAACAUUAUGAAGAAUAAUAAUUAAAAAAUAAGCCCAGAAUUGGGCUUUGAAAGACAUCAGGAUUCAAAGAGCAUGUGACAGAUGAAGAGUAAACAAUGGAGACUGAGAAAGGAGCAGUAAGAUCAUGUAACAUAAAUGGCUAUUCAACCAUGCCAGAAGGUUCAAAUUGAUCAGGAAGGCUGAGAAUAGAGAAAAGACCACUGGAUUUAGUAGUUAAGAAGUCAGUGGUGCUGCUGGAGACAGCAAUCUCAGUAGUCUGAAAGAAAUCAAAAAUCUAGAGAGUAAAAAGUUGAGAAGGUACAGUAAGGAGAGGGUGAAGAUCCUUGAGCUCCAAACAUGCUGAGGUUGAAGAGGAACGCUGAGAACAACAAAAAGGGCCACAUUUCCUGCUGAGAGCUCCUGUCUGGAACAGUUUCCUGAGGACAGAAAAAAAGGAAAGAAAAAAAAAAACAAGAUUGGAAUAUAUCUAAGUGUGUUAGCUGAAAGGAGAUGGAUGUAAAAUGUCAUAUUUGAAGAACACAACAGUUUUAACUAAAGAAAUAUAGAAGAUUCAUCUCAGGAAGAAUGUGGAGAAGAGAGAUGAAGAUAAUAUUCAAUCAAUAAAUCAAGGAAAUAACUGGACCUUCUUUCAGUUAAGUUUAAUGUCUUGGGCCAGGAAGACACCAAUAAAAGACAAAAAUGUGGCUCUUCUACUUUAUGGGCAAAAACAAUUGUAACCAUAGGCUCUGGCAACAGUGUACCCAGUUGAAGAUUGAGUUACUUCAGAAGAAGUUACAGGAAAAAGAAGACAUGAAACAGCCCAUAGGAUGUGUCUGUUCUAAGUCAGCUUGACUUUCUGCUGCAAUCCUGACAUUAGAAUAAACCUGUUAAAUACAUUUGCAAAAUGUAACCAAGUGAUAAAACAUGAUUCCUUCCUUUAAAGCUCUUUUAAUUGAAUACACCUGGUGUGGCUCUCCCCCAAUUUAUGUUAAAGCCACACACAGUCAAGCCUGCUCCCAUUACCAAUUAAACAAUAAAGUUGUUUAAAUUGGUAAAUGUCUUAUGUGCCAAGGCCAUGGAUAUAAAGAAAUAUGUGGUGUGUGUGUUUUUAGCCCCAUUUGAUAAAGAUCAAAGCCAUCUAUGUUUCCUAACCUGCCAUAUAACAGGCAAUCUGUGCUAUAAAACAUUGGUCACACAAAUGUUCUCUUUGCUCUUACCGUUUGAUUUCUCCUAGAUAGAGAGGGGAAUUACCUGAUGCAGCUGGCUAAAUUUCUAGAUCAAUUUAAGGCCAGAAUAAGAUUCUUUUACACUAGUGAAAUAGAGCUCUGUUUCCUGGAUGUUCAUUUAAUGUGUUAUCUCCUGAAAGGCAUUGCCAGAAGCAGAGUCUCUGUGGUGCCGAGCCAGUCUUGGUCAUUUCCCAUAUGAUUCAUAGAAUCUACAUAUAAUCCAAGGUCAGACAACAGGAUAAAGAUUUCAUUUUCAUCCAUUCACACAAUCUUUUAUUGUCAUAGAUGGUCACUUUGUGUGUCCCUGUCCACUUGUGUCCAUUGAGUUAAAAGUGCAUCACCACAACAGAGAUCCAAGAGUUUAAAACUAAGAAUAGUGAGUUGAAAUCACAGAAAGAGACACUUUGAGUCAAUGAAGAAAAGGACUUUGUAACAAUUUAAACUACACAACAAUGGAAAGUAAGAGUCCUCAGGAGACAAGUUCUUCCUCCCAGUAGGUCUUUAAAUGAAGGCUUCAUACCCCAUGUCAAAUAAAUUGUAGUGGGAAUUCUUUCUGGUACAGAAUUGACUGGGUCAUCUUAAGUGGUAUAGUAGAACACUAGUCCUGGAGUCAUGAAGAAAUGAGUUCAAGUUUGCCCUCAGACAUUUAGUAGUUGUGUGACCCUGGGCAAGUGAUUUAAAUGUGCUUGCCUCAGUUUCCUCAUCUGCAAAAGGAAGUGGAGAAGGAAAUGGAAAACUGUUCUCCUUUGGUAUUCUUGCCAAAAAAACCCCAAAUGAGGUCACAGAGAGUUCAACAUGAUUGAACCAAUUGAACACCACCACCAUAGAAUUAGCUAAAUGAAUGGUGAUGUCCGUUUGUGUUCUGAUAUUCCAUGAAAACAUUUCCUUUAAUCUGUUACUCUUUACAUGAGAAUCUGAGUUAUAAGCAUGGUCUAAGAAUAAAAGAGAAUAUAUUCAGCAAAA